CAUGGGCCGAAGGGCAGCCUUGCCUGGGGCCUGUCCUGACCGGUCAGGGACGAAAGCUGGGGGAGCAAACCGGAUUAGAUACCCGGGUAGUACCCAGCAGUAAACCCAUGGGCGCUAGACGUCGUCCGUAAGGGCGGUGUCUCAGCUAACGCGUUAAGCGCCCCGCCUGGGGAGUACGGGCGCAAGCCUGAAACUCAAAGGAAUUGGCGGGGGCCCGCACAACCGGUGGAGCGUCUGGUUCAAUUCGAUGCUAACCGAAAAACCUUACCCGGGCUUGACAUGAUGGGAAACCCUUGCGAAAGCGAGGGGUGCCGUCCUCUGGACGGAAUCCCAUCACAGGUGGUGCAUGGCCGUCGUCAGCUCGUGUCGUGAGAUGUUGGGUUAAGUCCCGCAACGAGCGCAACCCCUGCCCUUAGUUGCCACUCUACGGAGGGCACUCUAAGGGGACUGCCGGCGAUAAGCCGGAGGAAGGUGGGGAUGACGUCAGGUCAGUAUGCCCUUUAUGCCCGGGGCAACACAGGCGCUACAGUGGCCGGGACAAUGGGAAGCGACCCAGAAAUGGGGAGCAAAUCCUCAAACCCGGUCAUGGUGCAGAUUGAGGGCUGAAACUCGCCCUCAUGAAGCCGGAAUCGGUAGUAAUGGCGGAUCGGCUAAGCCGCCGUGAAUACGUUCUCGGGCCUUGCACACACCGCCCGUCACGCCACGGAAGUCAGUCUUCCCGGAAGCCCUCGAGCUAACCCGCAAGGGAGGCAGAGGACGAUGGGAAGGCUGGCAACUGGGGCGAAGUCGUAACAAGGUAGCCGUAGGGGAACCUGCGGCUGGAUCACCUCCUU
RNAcentral lists this ribosomal RNA (833 nucleotides) under uncultured Aquificales bacterium. RNAcentral describes it as "bacterial SSU rRNA". It matches the Rfam family "Bacterial small subunit ribosomal RNA", at positions 708 to 1532 of the family's 1533-position model. The record is from RNAcentral. Lineage: Bacteria; Pseudomonadati; Aquificota; Aquificia; Aquificales.